AAAAAAACAUGUUGAAAGCAUAGUAUGAAUGAAUGGAAUAAAAGAUGAAAAUAAUGCAAGGCAAUCAUGGAAAUGUCCACGGCUGGAAUCGAACUGUGUUGAAUUUUGAAAGUGGCGCGUUUCCUAAUGAAACGCACCGUUUCAUUAAGUCCAUGUGGCACGGCUAACUCACAACAACCAAUCAAAAUGCCAAUCAGGAUACACGCAGGACCAGUACAUGGCUGUUAACAUAAAACACAUGCAACCAAGCGCUAUCAUGGAUCAAACACGCUUCUGGACAGAAAACCCUAGGUUCUUCAUCAUGUUCAUCACAUUCAUACGCUCAAGAAA
RNAcentral lists this long non-coding RNA (330 nucleotides) under Lathyrus oleraceus (garden pea). RNAcentral describes it as "Pisum sativum (pea) long non-coding RNA (PSAT_LNC026032)". Lineage: Eukaryota; Viridiplantae; Streptophyta; Magnoliopsida; Fabales; Fabaceae. The record is from RNAcentral.